UACGUAGGCAGCGAGCGUUGUUCGGAUUUACUGGGCGUAAAGGGUGUGUAGGCGGUUGUUUAAGUUUGGUGUGAAAUCUCCCGGCUCAACUGGGAGGGUGCGCCGAAUACUGAAUGACUAGAGUGCGGGAGAGGAAAGUGGAAUUCCUGGUGUAGCGGUGAAAUGCUUAGAUAUCAGGAGGAACACCGGUGGUGUAGACGGCUUUCUGGACCGUAACUGACGCUGAGACACGAAAGCGUGGGUAGCAAACAGG
RNAcentral lists this ribosomal RNA (253 nucleotides) under uncultured bacterium. Its description in RNAcentral is "partial 16S ribosomal RNA". It matches the Rfam family "Bacterial small subunit ribosomal RNA", at positions 524 to 776 of the family's 1533-position model. The record is from RNAcentral.